This is a long non-coding RNA of Musa acuminata AAA Group (dessert banana), 309 nucleotides long. RefSeq lists it as uncharacterized. Lineage: Eukaryota; Viridiplantae; Streptophyta; Magnoliopsida; Zingiberales; Musaceae. The transcript is spliced from 2 exons. The record is from RefSeq and is a predicted model, not a curated record.
GUGAUUUCCCCGCUCUUUCUCGGCUCUCCGAAGGAGAGGGGAAGACUGAAGAGGAGAAGGCCAUGGUGGUGGAGGCGACGGAGAACGUCAAGAAAGCGGAGUCGUCCCUGGAGGAGAAGCACCUUCCUUUCGGCGUCCUCUUCUUCUUUUCGCCUUCUCCCUGAGGAAAACAAAUUGGUGCUACCGUUCUUUCUUGGACUUGGGUUUCGAGGACAAAGAACUGUGGUAAACUGAUUAUAAUAUUGAACGGAUAUUAUAAUUUAUCAGAGUUUUCACUUUUAUAGUAUGAAUCUUACUACUUUUUCUUCA